AGAAUCAACGCUGGCGGCGUGCCUAACACAUGCAAGUCGAACGAGAAAGUGGUAGCAAUACCAUGAGUAAAGUGGCGCACGGGUGAGUAACACGUGACUAACCUACCCUGGAGUGGGGAUAACUGAGGGAAACCUUAGCUAAUACCGCAUAAUACCUACGGGUCAAAGGAGCAAUUCGCUUCAGGAGGGGGUCGCGGCCGAUUAGUUAGUUGGCGGGGUAAUGGCCCACCAAGACAGUGAUCGGUA
This 246-nucleotide ribosomal RNA is filed under the name uncultured bacterium. RNAcentral describes it as "partial small subunit ribosomal RNA". It matches the Rfam family "Bacterial small subunit ribosomal RNA", at positions 26 to 285 of the family's 1533-position model. The record is from RNAcentral.